CCUUCGAUAGCUCAGUUGGUAGAGCGGUGGACUGUAGCGAGUUUUAGAGGUCGAUCAACUGUUACAAUGCAUCGCAAAGUGCAUCUGACGAUCACCUGCAACCAAUAGAAAUCCAUAGGUCACUGGUUCAAAUCCGGUUCGAAGGA
RNAcentral lists this transfer RNA (146 nucleotides) under Anopheles gambiae (African malaria mosquito). It matches the Rfam family "tRNA". From Rfam's summary of the family: Transfer RNA (tRNA) molecules are approximately 80 nucleotides in length. Their secondary structure includes four short double-helical elements and three loops (D, anti-codon, and T loops). Further hydrogen bonds mediate the characteristic L-shaped molecular structure. tRNAs have two regions of fundamental functional importance: the anti-codon, which is responsible for specific mRNA codon recognition, and the 3' end, to which the tRNAs corresponding amino acid is attached (by aminoacyl-tRNA synthetases). tRNAs cope with the degeneracy of the genetic code in two manners: having more than one tRNA (with a specific anti-codon) for a particular amino acid; and 'wobble' base-pairing, i.e. permitting non-standard base-pairing at the 3rd anti-codon position. Lineage: Eukaryota; Metazoa; Arthropoda; Insecta; Diptera; Culicidae. RNAcentral also lists the same sequence under 1 other name. The record is from Rfam by way of RNAcentral.